Triticum aestivum (bread wheat) is the source of this 197-nucleotide non-coding RNA. Lineage: Eukaryota; Viridiplantae; Streptophyta; Magnoliopsida; Poales; Poaceae. The record is from Rfam.
AUACCUUUCUCGGCCUUUUGGCUAAGAUCAAGUGUAGUAUCUGUUCUUAUCAGUUUAAUAUCUGAUAUGUGGGCCAUGUGCCUAUAGUGAUAUUAAAUUUAUUUUUUAUGGGGGAGGGACCACCAAAAUGGCUUGCCAUUGGGUCCCUCGGGUGUCGCCCAGUGCGUUGCACUACUGCCUGGGCAGGCGCACCCCAA